UACGUAGGUGGCAAGCGUUGUCCGGAUUUACUGGGCGUAAAGAGCGCGCAGGCGGUCGUUCAAGUCGCGUGUGAAAGCCCCCGGCUCAACUGGGGAGGGUCACGCGAUACUGAUCGACUCGAAGGCAGGAGAGGGUAGUGGAAUUCCCGGUGUAGUGGUGAAAUGCGUAGAUAUCGGGAGGAACACCAGUGGCGAAGGCGGCCUGCUGGGCUCUUGCUGACACUGAUGCGCGACAGCGUGGGGAGCAAACAGG
This 253-nucleotide ribosomal RNA is filed under the name uncultured bacterium. RNAcentral describes it as "partial 16S ribosomal RNA". It matches the Rfam family "Bacterial small subunit ribosomal RNA", at positions 524 to 776 of the family's 1533-position model. The record is from RNAcentral.